Molecule: ribosomal RNA, 465 nt
Filed under: uncultured bacterium
Lineage: Bacteria
Description: partial 16S ribosomal RNA
Rfam family: Bacterial small subunit ribosomal RNA
Source: RNAcentral
CCUACGGGAGGCAGCAGUAGGGAAUCUUCCACAAUGGGCGAAAGCCUGAUGGAGCAACGCCGCGUGGGUGAAGAAGGUCUUCGGAUCGUAAAACCCUGUUGUUAGAGAAGAAAGUGCGUGAGAGUACCUGUUCACGUUUCGACGGUAUCUAACCAGAACGCCACGGCUAACUACGUGCCAGCAGCCGCGGUAAUACGUAGGUGGCAAGCGUUAUCCGGAUUUAUUGGGCGUAAAGGGAACGCAGGCGGUCUUUUAAGUCUGAUGUGAAAGGCUUCGGCUUAACCGGAGUAGUGCAUUGGAAACUGGGAGACUUGAGUGCAGAAGAGGAGAGUGGAACUCCAUGUGUAGCGGUGAAAUGCGUAGAUAUAUGGAAGAACACCAGUGGCGAAAGCGGCUCUCUGGUCUGUAACUGACGCUGAGGUUCGAAAGCGUGGGUAGCAAACAGGAUUAGAUACCCGAGUAGUC